RNAcentral lists this ribosomal RNA (483 nucleotides) under uncultured bacterium. RNAcentral describes it as "partial 16S ribosomal RNA". It matches the Rfam family "Bacterial small subunit ribosomal RNA", at positions 30 to 507 of the family's 1533-position model. The record is from RNAcentral.
UUGAACGCUGGCGGCAGGCCUAACACCUGCAAGUCGAGCGGAUGAAGGGAGCUUGCUCCUGGAUUCAGCGGCGGACGGGUGAGUAAUGCCUAGGAAUCUGCCUGGUAGUGGGGGAUAACGUCCGGAAACGGGCGCUAAUACCGCAUACGUCCUGAGGGAGAAAGUGGGGGAUCUUCGGACCUCACGCUAUCAGAUGAGCCUAGGUCGGAUUAGCUAGUUGGUGGGGUAAAGGCCUACCAAGGCGACGAUCCGUAACUGCUCUGAGAGGAUGAUCAGUCACACUGGAACUGAGACACGGUCCAGACUCCUACGGGAGGCAGCAGUGGGGAAUAUUGGACAAUGGGCGAAAGCCUGAUCCAGCCAUGCCGCGUGUGUGAAGAAGGUCUUCGGAUUGUAAAGCACUUUAAGUUGGGAGGAAGGGCAGUAAGUUAAUACCUUGCUGUUUUGACGUUACCAACAGAAUAAGCACCGGCUAACUUCGUG